RNAcentral lists this ribosomal RNA (468 nucleotides) under uncultured bacterium. RNAcentral's name for it is "partial 16S ribosomal RNA". It matches the Rfam family "Bacterial small subunit ribosomal RNA", at positions 28 to 507 of the family's 1533-position model. The record is from RNAcentral.
GACGAACGCUGGCGGCGUGCUUAACACAUGCAAGUCGAACGGAAAGGCCCUGCUUUUGUGGGGUUCUCGAUUGCCGAACGGGUGAGUAACACGUGAGUAUCCUGCCCUUGACUUUGGGAUAACUUCAGGAAACUGGGGCUAAUACCGGAUAGGAGCUCCUGCUCCAUGGUGGGGGUUGGAAAGUUUCGGCGGUUGGGGAUGGAUUCGCGGCUUAUCAGCUUGUUGGUGGGGUAGUGGCUUACCGAGGCUUUGACGGGUAGCCGGCCUGAGAGGGUGACCGGCCACAUUGGGACUGAGAGACGGCCCAGACUCCUACGGGAGGCAGCAGUGGGGAAUAUUGCACAAUGGGCGGAAGCCUGAUGCAGCAACGCCGCGUGCGGGAUGACGGCCUUCGGGUUGUAAACCGCUUUCGCCUGUGACGAAGCGUGAGUGACGGUAAUGGGUAAAGAAGCACCGGCUAACUACGUG